GACGAACGCUGGCGGCGUGCUUAACACAUGCAAGUCGAACGGAAAGGCCCUGCUUUUGUGGGGUGCUCGAGUGGCGAACGGGUGAGUAACACGUGAGUGACCUGCCCUUGACUUUGGGAUAACUUCAGGAAACUGGGGCUAAUACCGGAUAGGAGCUCCUGCUGCAUGGUGGUGUUGGAAAAUUUUCGGCGGUUGGGUAAGGUCUCGGGGCUUAUAAGUUUGUGGGGGGGGAAGGGCUUCACCAAGGUUUUGCGGGGUACCGGCCGUGAGGGGGUGACCGCCACCAUGGGGCCUGGGAUCCGGCCCAGAUCCCUCCGGGAGGAAGAGGGGGGGAUUAUUGACCAAUGGGCCGAAGCCUGAUGCGGCAACGCCGCGUGCGGGAUGACGGCCUUCGGGUUUUAACCCGUUUUGGCCUGUGACGAAGCGUGAGUGACGGUACUGGGUGAAGAAGCACCGGCUAACUACGUG
RNAcentral lists this ribosomal RNA (468 nucleotides) under uncultured bacterium. RNAcentral describes it as "partial 16S ribosomal RNA". It matches the Rfam family "Bacterial small subunit ribosomal RNA", at positions 28 to 507 of the family's 1533-position model. The record is from RNAcentral.